This 296-nucleotide ribosomal RNA is filed under the name Streptococcus pneumoniae. RNAcentral's name for it is "partial 23S ribosomal RNA". It matches the Rfam family "Bacterial large subunit ribosomal RNA", at positions 1375 to 1670 of the family's 2925-position model. Lineage: Bacteria; Bacillati; Bacillota; Bacilli; Lactobacillales; Streptococcaceae. The record is from RNAcentral.
CUGGGUUAGUCGGGACCUAAGGAGAGACCGAAAGGUGUAUCCGAUGGACAACAGGUUGAUAUUCCUGUACUAGAGUAUGUAGUGAUGGAGGGACGCAGUAGGCUAACUAAAGCAGACGAUUGGAAGAGUCUGUCUAAGCAGUGAGGUGUGAAUUGAGUUAAAUGCUUAGUUCUAUAACAUUGAGCUGUGAUGGGGAGCGAAGUUUAGUAGCGAAGUUAGUGACGUCACACUGCCAAGAAAAGCUUCUAGCGUUUAAACAUACUCUACCCGUACCGCAAACCGACACAGGUAGUCGA